This 250-nucleotide long non-coding RNA is filed under the name Lathyrus oleraceus (garden pea). RNAcentral describes it as "Pisum sativum (pea) long non-coding RNA (PSAT_LNC020521)". Lineage: Eukaryota; Viridiplantae; Streptophyta; Magnoliopsida; Fabales; Fabaceae. The record is from RNAcentral.
UUGAAUGCUUCCUAGUAUAAGAUAUCCGAUGAGCUUCCGGGGUCUAUCAAGACUCUCUUUAUGCUACAAUCAUGGAUCUGUACUAUAAUCACCAUGGAAUCGUUUUCGUGAGCCAACACUCCUUCUGAGUCCUUUAUGGAGAAGCUGAUCACAAUUGAAUUCUCUUUUCCCUCUGACGGUGACUUCUGUUCGAUGUGCAUUAUGAUCGAGCAUACAUUUUCCUAGUCGAGCUAGUUUCUCAUCCUCCUGC